This 465-nucleotide ribosomal RNA is filed under the name Vreelandella stevensii. Its description in RNAcentral is "partial 16S ribosomal RNA". It matches the Rfam family "Bacterial small subunit ribosomal RNA", at positions 338 to 795 of the family's 1533-position model. Lineage: Bacteria; Pseudomonadati; Pseudomonadota; Gammaproteobacteria; Oceanospirillales; Halomonadaceae. The record is from RNAcentral.
CCUACGGGUGGCAGCAGUGGGGAAUAUUGGACAAUGGGGGCAACCCUGAUCCAGCCAUGCCGCGUGUGUGAAGAAGGCCCUCGGGUUGUAAAGCACUUUCAGUGAGGAAGAACGCCUGGUGGUUAAUACCCAUCAGGAAAGACAUCACUCACAGAAGAAGCACCGACUAACUCCGUGCCAGCAGCCGCGGUAAUACGGAGGGUGCGAGCGUUAAUCGGAAUUACUGGGCGUAAAGCGCGCGUAGGUGGCUUGAUAAGCCGGUUGUGAAAGCCCCGGGCUCAACCUGGGAACGGCAUCCGGAACUGUCAAGUUAGAGUGCAGGAGAGGAAGGUAGAAUUCCCGGUGUAGCGGUGAAAUGCGUAGAGAUCGGGAGGAAUACCAGUGGCGAAGGCGGCCUUCUGGACUGACACUGACACUGAGGUGCGAAAGCGUGGGUAGCAAACAGGAUUAGAUACCCUAGUAGUC